CCUACGGAGGGCAGCAGUGAGGAAUAUUGGUCAAUGGGCUUACGCCUGAACCAGCCAAGUCGCGUGAGGGAAGACUGCCCUAUGGGUUGUAAACCUCUUUUGUCAGGGAGCAAUUGGCGCUACGUGUAGCGUUAUCGAGAGUACCUGAAGAAAAAGCAUCGGCUAACUCCGUGCCAGCAGCCGCGGUAAUACGGAGGAUGCGAGCGUUAUCCGGAGUUAUUGGGUUUAAAGGGUGCGUAGGCGGAAUGCCAAGUCAGCGGUAAAAUCGAGGGGCUCAACCUCGCUCCGCCGUUGAAACUGGCGUUCUUGAGUGGGCGAGAAGUAUGCGGAAUGCGUGGUGUAGCGGUGAAAUGCAUAGAUAUCACGCAGAACUCCGGUUGCGAAGGCAGUAUACCGGCGCCCAACUGACGCUGAAGCACGAAAGCGUGGGUAUCGAACAGGAUUAGAUACCCUAGUAGUC
RNAcentral lists this ribosomal RNA (460 nucleotides) under uncultured bacterium. Its description in RNAcentral is "partial 16S ribosomal RNA". It matches the Rfam family "Bacterial small subunit ribosomal RNA", at positions 338 to 795 of the family's 1533-position model. The record is from RNAcentral.